This 487-nucleotide ribosomal RNA is filed under the name uncultured bacterium. RNAcentral's name for it is "SSU rRNA". It matches the Rfam family "Bacterial small subunit ribosomal RNA", at positions 26 to 523 of the family's 1533-position model. The record is from RNAcentral.
AGGACGAACGCUGGCGGCGUGCCUAACACAUGCAAGUCGAACGAGGUCCAUCCGGUAGCAAUACCGGUGAAGAUCAAGUGGCGAACGGGUGAGUAGCACGUGAGCAACCUGCCCCGAAGACCGGGACAACACCGGGAAACCGGUGCUAAUACCGGAUGUCCCCACCGAGUCGCAUGGCUUGGUGAGGAAAUGGAUUCCGCUUCGGGAGGGGCUCGCGGCCUAUCAGCUUGUUGGUGAGGUAAUGGCUCACCAAGGCUUCGACGGGUAGCUGGUCUGAGAGGACGAUCAGCCACACUGGGACUGAGACACGGCCCAGACUCCUACGGGAGGCAGCAGUGGGGAAUCUUGCACAAUGGGCGAAAGCCUGAUGCAGCAACGCCGCGUGAGGGACGAAGGCUUUCUGAGUUGUAAACCUCUUUCAGCAGGGACGAUUGUGACGGUACCUGCAGAAGAACGCCCGGCAACUACGCGCCAGCAGCCGCGGUAA